This 466-nucleotide ribosomal RNA is filed under the name uncultured bacterium. RNAcentral describes it as "partial 16S ribosomal RNA". It matches the Rfam family "Bacterial small subunit ribosomal RNA", at positions 28 to 507 of the family's 1533-position model. The record is from RNAcentral.
GACGAACGCUGGCGGCGCGCCUAACACAUGCAAGUCGAACGAGCGAGAGGAGGUUUACUUUCUCAAGCGAGUGGCGAACGGGUGAGUAACGCGUGAGGAACCUGCCUCAAAGAUGGGGACAACAGUUGGAAACGACUGCUAAUACCGCAUAAGCCCACGACCCGUCAUCGGGUAGAUGGAAAAUGAGCAAUCCGCUUUGAGAUGGCCUCGCGUCCGAUUAGCUAGUUGGUGAGGUAAUGGCCCACCAAGGCGACGAUCGGUAGCCGGACUGGGAGGUUGAACGGCCACAUUGGGACUGAGACACGGCCCAGACUCCUACGGGAGGCAGCAGUGGGGAAUAUUGCACAAUGGGGGAAACCCUGAUGCAGCGACGCCGCGUGGAGGAAGAAGGUCUUCGGAUUGUAAACUCCUGUUGUUGAGGAAGAUAAUGACGGUACUCAACAAGGAAGUGACGGCUAACUACGUG